RNAcentral lists this ribosomal RNA (499 nucleotides) under uncultured bacterium. RNAcentral describes it as "partial 16S ribosomal RNA". It matches the Rfam family "Bacterial small subunit ribosomal RNA", at positions 28 to 507 of the family's 1533-position model. The record is from RNAcentral.
GACGAACGCUGGCGGCGUGCCUAAUACAUGCAAGUCGAGCGAAGUUUUUCUGGUGCUUGCACUAGAAAAACUUAGCGGCGAACGGGUGAGUAACACGUAAAGAACCUGCCUCAUAGACUGGGACAACUAUUGGAAACGAUAGCUAAUACCGGAUAACAGCAUUAACUGCAUGGUUGAUGUUUAAAAGUUGGUUUUGCUAACACUAUGAGAUGGCUUUGCGGUGCAUUAGCUAGUUGGUGGGGUAAAGGCCUACCAAGGCGACGAUGCAUAGCCGACCUGAGAGGGUGAUCGGCCACACUGGGACUGAGACACGGCCCAGACUCCUACGGGAGGCAGCAGUAGGGAAGCUUCCGCAAUGGGCGAAAGCCUGACGGAGCAACGCCGCGUGAGUGAAGAAGGAUUUCGGUUCGUAAAGCUCUGUUGUUAGGGAAGAAUGAUUGUGUAGUAACUAUACACAGUAGAGACGGUACCUAACCAGAAAGCCACGGCUAACUACGUG